UGAGUACGAGCUGCUACGGCAGCGAAGUGGGUGAUGUCAAGCUUCCAAGAAAAGCCCUAUACCCGUUAAGGCAUGACGGCCUGUACCCGAAACCGACACAGGUGGGGUGGUAGAGAAUACCGAGGGGCGCGAGAUAACUCUCUCUAAGGAACUCGGCAAAAUGGCCCCGUAACUUCGGGAGAAGGGGUGCCACCGCAAGGUGGUCGCAGUGAAGAGGCCCAGGCGACUGUUUACCAAAAACACAGGUCUCCGCUAAGUCGCAAGACGAUGUAUGGGGGCUGACGCCUGCCCAGUGCCGGAAGGUUAAGGAAGCUGGUCAGCGCAAGCGAAGCUAGCGACUGAAGCCCCGGUGAACGGCGGCCGUAACUAUAACGGUCCUAAGGUAGCGAAAUUCCUUGUCGGGUAAGUUCCGACCCGCACGAAAGGCGUAACGAUCUGGGCGCUGUCUCGGAGAGAGGCUCGGCGAAAUAGAAUUGUCUGUGAAGAUGCGGACUACGUGCACCCGGACAGAAAGACCAUAUGAAGCUUUACUGUAGCUUGGUAUUGUGCCCGGGCUCUGAAUGCGCAGGAUAGGUGGGAGGCUUUGAUCCAUUGCUUGUGGGUAAUGGUGAGCCACUGGUGAGAUACCACUCUUUCAGAGCUAGGGUUCUAACGGUCACCCGUUAUCCGGGGACCGGACAGUAUCAGGUGGGCAGUUUGACUGGGGCGGUCGCCUCCUAAAAGGUAACGGAGGCGCGCAAAGGUUCCCUCAGGCUGGUUGGAAAUCAGCCGACGAGUGUAAAGGCAGAAGGGAGCUUGACUGUGAGACCUACAAGUCGAACAGGGACGAAAGUCGGCCUUAGUGAUCCGACGGUUCUGAGUGGAAGGGCCGUCGCUCAACGGAUAAAAGUUACUCUAGGAUAACAGGCUGAUCUCCCCCAAGAGUUCACAUCGACGGGGAGGUUUGGCACCUCGAUGUCGGCUCAUCGCAACCUGGGGCUGAAGUCGGUCCCAAGGGUUGGGCUGUUCGCCCAUUAAAGCGGUACGCGAGCUGGGUUCAGAGCGUCGUGAGACAGUUCGGUCCAUAUCCGGUGCACGCGCAGGAACAUUGAGAGGAUUUCUCCCUAGUACGAGAGGACCGGGAGGAACGCACCUCUGGUGUACCAGUUAUCGUGCCAACGGUAAACGCUGGGUAGCCAUGUGCGGAGCGGAUAACCGCUGAAAGCAUCUAAGUGGGAAGCCCACCUCAAGAUGAGUGUUCCCAUGGCAUAAGCCAGUAAGGUCACGGGAAGAACACCCGUUGAUAGGCUCUACGUGGAAGCGUGGCAACACGUGAAGCGGAGGAGUACUAAUAGACCGAGGGCUUGAC
RNAcentral lists this ribosomal RNA (1348 nucleotides) under metagenome. RNAcentral's name for it is "bacterial LSU rRNA". It matches the Rfam family "Bacterial large subunit ribosomal RNA", at positions 1564 to 2925 of the family's 2925-position model. The record is from RNAcentral.